Molecule: small nuclear RNA, 21 nt
Filed under: Arabidopsis thaliana (thale cress)
Lineage: Eukaryota; Viridiplantae; Streptophyta; Magnoliopsida; Brassicales; Brassicaceae
Description: snRNA_02331
Source: RNAcentral
AGUCCAUUCGUUCUUAGCAAU